GUGACUGCGUACCUUUUGUAUAAUGGGUCAGCGACUUAUAUUCUGUAGCAAGGUUAACCGUAUAGGGGAGCCGGAGGGAAACCGAGUCUUAACCGGGCGUUAAGUUGCAGGGUAUAGACCCGAAACCCGGUGAUCUAGCCAUGGGCAGGUUGAAGGUUGGGUAACACUAACUGGAGGACCGAACCGACUAAUGUUGAAAAAUUAGCGGAUGACCUGUGGCUGGGGGUGAAAGGCCAAUCAAACCGGGAGAUAGCUGGUUCUCCCCGAAAGCUAUUUAGGUAGCGCCUCGUGAAUUCAUCUCCGGGGGUAGAGCACUGUUUCGGCUAGGGGGCCAUCCCGGCUUACCAACCCGAUGCAAACUGCGAAUACCGGAGAAUGUUAUCACGGGAGACACACGGCGGGUGCUAACGUCCGUCGUGAAGAGGGAAACAACCCAGACCGCCAGCUAAGGUCCCAAAGUCAUGGUUAAGUGGGAAACGAUGUGGGAAGGCCCAGACAGCCAGGAUGUUGGCUUAGAAGCAGCCAUCAUUUAAAGAAAGCGUAAUAGCUCACUGGUCGAGUCGGCCUGCGCGGAAGAUGUAACGGGGCUAAACCAUGCACCGAAGCUGCGGCAGCGAACGUAUCACCCAAGACAACUUUACGGAGUUGACGAUUGACGGAGCGAAGCGACGUCAAAGCGUUCAUUAAAGUCGAGUUGGCUUAGGGAUACGUUCGUUGGGUAGGGGAGCGUUCUGUAAGCCUGUGAAGGUGUGUCGUGAGGCAUGCUGGAGGUAUCAGAAGUGCGAAUGCUGACAUAAGUAACGAUAAAGCGGGUGAAAAGCCCGCUCGCCGGAAGACCAAGGGUUCCUGUCCAACGUUAAUCGGGGCAGGGUGAGUCGACCCCUAAGGCGAGGCCGAAAGGCGUAGUCGAUGGGAAACGGGUUAAUAUUCCCGUACUUGGUGUUACUGCGAAGGGGGGACGGAGAAGGCUAUGUUGGCCGGGCGACGGUUGUCCCGGUUUAAGCGUGUAGGUGUGUGUUCCAGGUAAAUCCGGUUCACUUUAACACUGAGGCGUGACGACGAGGCACUACGGUGCUGAAGCAACAAAUGCCCUGCUUCCAGGAAAAGCCUCUAAGCAUCAGGUAACAUCAAAUCGUACCCCAAACCGACACAGGUGGUCAGGUAGAGAAUACCAAGGCGCUUGAGAGAACUCGGGUGAAGGAACUAGGCAAAAUGGUGCCGUAACUUCGGGAGAAGGCACGCUGACACGUAGGUGAAGUGAUUUACUCAUGGAGCUGAAGUCAGUCGAAGAUACCAGCUGGCUGCAACUGUUUAUUAAAAACACAGCACUGUGCAAACACGAAAGUGGACGUAUACGGUGUGACGCCUGCCCGGUGCCGGAAGGUUAAUUGAUGGGGUCAGCGCAAGCGAAGCUCCUGAUCGAAGCCCCGGUAAACGGCGGCCGUAACUAUAACGGUCCUAAGGUAGCGAAAUUCCUUGUCGGGUAAGUUCCGACCUGCACGAAUGGCGUAAUGAUGGCCAGGCUGUCUCCACCCGAGACUCAGUGAAAUUGAACUCGCUGUGAAGAUGCAGUGUACCCGCGGCAAGACGGAAAGACCCCGUGAACCUUUACUAUAGCUUGACACUGAACAUUGAGCCUUGAUGUGUAGGAUAGGUGGGAGGCUUUGAAGUGUGGACGCCAGUCUGCAUGGAGCCGACCUUGAAAUACCACCCUUUAAUGUUUGAUGUUCUAACGUGGACCCGUAAUCCGGGUUGCGGACAGUGUCUGGUGGGUAGUUUGACUGGGGCGGUCUCCUCCUAAAGAGUAACGGAGGAGCACGAAGGUUGGCUAAUCCUGGUCGGACAUCAGGAGGUUAGUGCAAUGGCAUAAGCCAGCUUGACUGCGAGCGUGACGGCGCGAGCAGGUGCGAAAGCAGGUCAUAGUGAUCCGGUGGUUCUGAAUGGAAGGGCCAUCGCUCAACGGAUAAAAGGUACUCCGGGGAUAACAGGCUGAUACCGCCCAAGAGUUCAUAUCGACGGCGGUGUUUGGCACCUCGAUGUCGGCUCAUCACAUCCUGGGGCUGAAGUAGGUCCCAAGGGUAUGGCUGUUCGCCAUUUAAAGUGGUACGCGAGCUGGGUUUAGAACGUCGUGAGACAGUUCGGUCCCUAUCUGCCGUGGGCGCUGGAGAACUGAGGGGGGCUGCUCCUAGUACGAGAGGACCGGAGUGGACGCAUCACUGGUGUUCGGGUUGUCAUGCCAAUGGCACUGCCCGGUAGCUAAAUGCGGAAGAGAUAAGUGCUGAAAGCAUCUAAGCACGAAACUUGCCCCGAGAUGAGUUCUCCCUGAGACUUAGAGUCUCCUGAAGGAACGUUGAAGACGACGACGUUGAUAGGCCGGGUGUGUAAGCGCAGCGAUGCGUUGAGCUAACCGGUACUAAUGAACCGUGAGGCUUAACCUU
Molecule: ribosomal RNA, 2438 nt
Filed under: Salmonella enterica subsp. enterica serovar Typhimurium str. DT104
Lineage: Bacteria; Pseudomonadati; Pseudomonadota; Gammaproteobacteria; Enterobacterales; Enterobacteriaceae
Description: bacterial LSU rRNA
Rfam family: Bacterial large subunit ribosomal RNA
Source: RNAcentral